GACGAACGCUGGCGGCGUGCUUAACACAUGCAAGUCGAACGGAAAGGCCCUGCUUUUGUGGGGUGCUCGAGUGGCGAACGGGUGAGUAACACGUGAGUAACCUGCCCUUGACUUUGGGAUAACUUCAGGAAACUGGGGCUAAUACCGGAUAGGAGCUCCUGUUGCAUGGUGGGGGUUGGAAAGUUUCGGCGGUUGGGGAUGGACUCGCGGCUUAUCAGCUUGUUGGUGGGGUAGUGGCAUACCAAGGCUUUGACGGGUAGCCGGCCUGAGAGGGUGACCGGCCACAUUGGGACUGAGAUACGGCCCAGACUCCUACGGGAGGCAGCAGUGGGGAAUAUUGCACAAUGGGCGGAAGCCUGAUGCAGCAACGCCGCGUGCGGGAUGACGGCCUUCGGGUUGUAAACCGCUUUCGCCUGUGACGAAGCGUGAGUGACGGUAAUGGGUAAAGAAGCACCGGCUAACUACGUG
This 468-nucleotide ribosomal RNA is filed under the name uncultured bacterium. RNAcentral's name for it is "partial 16S ribosomal RNA". It matches the Rfam family "Bacterial small subunit ribosomal RNA", at positions 28 to 507 of the family's 1533-position model. The record is from RNAcentral.